RNAcentral lists this ribosomal RNA (253 nucleotides) under uncultured bacterium. RNAcentral describes it as "partial 16S ribosomal RNA". It matches the Rfam family "Bacterial small subunit ribosomal RNA", at positions 524 to 776 of the family's 1533-position model. The record is from RNAcentral.
GACGUAGGGCGCGAGCGUUGUCCGGAUUUAUUGGGCGUAAAGAGCUCGUAGGCGGCUUGUCGCGUCGACCGUGAAAACUUGCGGCUCAACCCCAAGCCUGCGGUCGAUACGGGCAGGCUCGAGUUCGGUAGGGGAGACUGGAAUUCCUGGUGUAGCGGUGAAAUGCGCAGAUAUCAGGAGGAACACCGAUGGCGAAGGCAGCUCUCUGGGCCGAUACUGACGCUGAGGAGCGAAAGCGUGGGGAGCGAACAGG